This 25-nucleotide non-coding RNA is filed under the name Rattus norvegicus (Norway rat). The record is from RNAcentral. Lineage: Eukaryota; Metazoa; Chordata; Mammalia; Rodentia; Muridae.
UAAACAUAGGAAAUACACGGGUUAU